CAACCCUCAAGCCCUAGUUGCUUGGUGUUGGGAGCUUAUCUUCGGAUAACUCCUGAAAAGCAUCGGCGGAGUCGUGUUGGCCCCAAGCGUAGUAAUUUUUCCUCGCUUCAGGUGGUUCCAGCGCUGGCGUCCUGCCGCUAAACCCCCUAUUUUCUAGU
This 158-nucleotide unclassified non-coding RNA is filed under the name uncultured Eutypa. RNAcentral describes it as "sequence contains ITS2". Lineage: Eukaryota; Fungi; Ascomycota; Sordariomycetes; Xylariales; Diatrypaceae. The record is from RNAcentral.